RNAcentral lists this ribosomal RNA (253 nucleotides) under uncultured bacterium. RNAcentral describes it as "partial 16S ribosomal RNA". It matches the Rfam family "Bacterial small subunit ribosomal RNA", at positions 524 to 776 of the family's 1533-position model. The record is from RNAcentral.
UACGUAGGGGGCAAGCGUUGUCCGGAUUUAUUGGGCGUGAAGAGCGUGUAGGCGGCCUGAAAGGUCAGCUGUGAAAACUCGAGGCUCAACCUCGAGACGCCGGUUGAAACCAUCUGGCUAGAGUCCGGAAGAGGAGAGUGGAAUUCCUGGUGUAGCGGUGAAAUGCGCAGAUAUCAGGAAGAACACCCGUGGCUAAGGCGGCUCUCUAGUACGGUACUGACGCUGAGACGCGAAAGCGUGGGGAGCGAACAGG